Molecule: ribosomal RNA, 795 nt
Filed under: Staphylococcus hominis
Lineage: Bacteria; Bacillati; Bacillota; Bacilli; Caryophanales; Staphylococcaceae
Description: bacterial SSU rRNA
Rfam family: Bacterial small subunit ribosomal RNA
Source: RNAcentral
AAAAACUUGAGUGCAGAAGAGGGAAAGUGGAAUUUCCAUGUGUAGCGGUGAAAUGCGCAGAGAUAUGGAGGAACACCAGUGGCGAAGGCGACUUUCUGGUCUGUAACUGACGCUGAUGUGCGAAAGCGUGGGGGAUCAAACAGGAUUAGAUACCCUUGGUAGUCCACCCCGUAAACGAUGAGUGCUAAGUGUUAGGGGGGUUUCCCGCCCCUUAGUGCUGCAGCUAACCGCAUUAAGCACUCCCGCCUGGGGGAGUACCGACCCGCAAGGGUUGAAAAUCUCAAAGGGAAUUUGAACGGGGAACCCGCACAAGCGGUGGAGCAUGUGGUUUAAUUCGAAGCAACGCGAAGAACCUUACCAAAUCUUGACAUCCUUUGACCCUUCUAGAGAUAGAAGUUUCCCCUUCGGGGGACAAAGUGACAGGUGGUGCAUGGUUGUCGUCAGCUCGUGUCGUGAGAUGUUGGGUUAAGUCCCGCAACGAGCGCAACCCUUAAGCUUAGUUGCCAUCAUUAAGUUGGGCACUCUAAGUUGACUGCCGGUGACAAACCGGAGGAAGGUGGGGAUGACGUCAAAUCAUCAUGCCCCUUAUGAUUUGGGCUACACACGUGCUACAAUGGACAAUACAAAGGGUAGCGAAACCGCGAGGUCAAGCAAAUCCCAUAAAGUUGUUCUCAGUUCGGAUUGUAGUCUGCAACUCGACUACAUGAAGCUGGAAUCGCUAGUAAUCGUAGAUCAGCAUGCUACGGUGAAUACGUUCCCGGGUCUUGUACACACCGCCCGUCACACCACAAGAGG